This 328-nucleotide ribosomal RNA is filed under the name uncultured eukaryote. Its description in RNAcentral is "partial 18S ribosomal RNA". It matches the Rfam family "Eukaryotic small subunit ribosomal RNA", at positions 1470 to 1796 of the family's 1831-position model. The record is from RNAcentral.
CCCUUAGAUGCUCUGGGCCGCACGCGCGCUACACUGGUCGAUGCAACGAGUUUCUUUCCUUGGCCGACAGGCCUGGGCAAUCUUUGAACAUCGAUCGUGAUCGGGAUAGAUUCUUGUAAUUUUUGAUCUUAAACGAGGAAUUCCUAGUAAACGCAAGUCAUCAGCUUGCAUUGAUUACGUCCCUGCCCUUUGUACACACCGCCCGUCGCUCCUACCGAUUGAAUGGUCCGGUGAAGCGUUCGGACCGUGGCCUUUGGACGGUUCGCCGUCUGUUGGCUGCGGGAAGUUCGUUAAACCUUAUCAUUUAGAGGAAGGAGAANUCGUAACA